ACGUCUCAACUUCCAUUGCUUCUCUAAGAAAAAAGUGUUACAGAAACCCAACCAUCAAUUUUUAUUUGCACCGUCAAUCUUCUUCUUCUUCCUACCCUAUAAACAAUUUUUAACUGAUCUCUUCAUUUCCUCCCAUGCAAUUUUCUUCUUCUUUUCAAUUCAACAUAGAUCCAGUGAUUUGCAAAAGUUUGAGAUUUAAUCACCAAGCCAACGUGCCAAGCAGCUUCCUUUCUCUUCCUCCAGCUCCGUGCUAAUCCGUAAGGAUUCGAUCAGUGCGAAGAAACAAAGCACUGGAUUUGGGAUCAGCAUGUGUGCAAGCUUCUAUGCGCAUCCCCUAAUCAUUCAGUGUCUAACAAAGAGAUCUCGAACUGGAUCCUGUGAGAUUAGUUGAAAUCAAUCAAGUAUUGGAAUCAAUCCAUCAAGCUUUUCACCACCAGGUUCCAUAUCUUUCUCAUUCACGAACUUCCUUUCAAUCUGAACCCAAUUUUUUUUAAUCAUGCUUUCGUUGGAACUGGUUGGUACUAAACAUGUGAGCUGCAGAAACUGGAUAAAGAUUAUUCUGAGUCUCUCAGAUGCUUAGUACAGCUACGUAAUCUUCCCUUCCCCUUCUCCCUAUCUUAUUUUGUUAUAAUUGAUAAGGUAAAAGCUUAAUAAUAUGAUUAUUAAUAUCUUAUAAGUUGCAGGUAUGGGUUCUGUAAAAUCAGUAUAUGAAAUUCAUUGUAUAAAUUCUUUUGAUCCCGUGCAACAGGUCAAGUCAUGGUGGCGGUGGAUUCUGUGGUCCUCCAAUCGUCGGAGUAUACGUCUCCCCCCAUCUUCCCCACUCCGGUAUUUAUGGAAAAAAGGAUCUAAAGACAAAGGACUACAAUGUAAGUUCAGAUUUAUCCAUUGCAGUGAGCUAGAAGAAGCAGAGUUAUCUCUGUGUGAGACAAGUUCCUUGCACUACGAGGAGAGCUCUUUUGGGAAGAAUUGAGACUGAAAGGAAAACAUAGUAUGAAGGCAGGAUUGCUCCUCCUGCGAUGUCUAUUAAUUUGCUGUGUUAUAUUGAUUUUCUAAUAUAUUGUUCUUAAAGUAAAAUCUCUCCAGGGUCUAGAAGGUUCCAAGGUACAAAUAACAAUCUUUUUCUUUUAAUUAUGUACUUCAUCUGUAAGUGUUGAUCAAGAGACAUCCUUCUUGAUUUUAUUUGCUUAAUUAAUAACCAUCUCAAUAUUUUCCCAGAUAUCCAAAGGAACCAGCCAAAAUCAGGCUUGCGAAGCAGACAUGGCUACCGAAAAAAGUUUUGAUUUUGUUUUGUUAAUGAGUUUGGCUAUGGACACCAAUGAUUGAAGCGAUGCAUAAAUGAUAGUCUGGUGAUGCAUUAGAGCUUAAACAAAUUUCAUGAUAUAUUCAACCGCUUUCUGGAACAAUAGACAGACUAGAUCGAUUCUGUCUUCAUGUCCAGACGAUCUCGCCCUCAGUUCAACCUAAUUCGGCGAAAGCAAUUGAGUUUUCCGGAGUUGGGCAGGAAAGUUUGCACAGAGAAGACCAACUUUGAAGGAAGAGAUCCAGAGAAGGACAAUACAGGCCGAGUGCUUGAUCUAACUAAAGGUAAGGACAAAAAAAAAACUCAAAUGAACAUCAUCAUCACCGUCGCCAUCAUUCUGAUACUUCAUUUGAUAUCGUGAGUUCCAUCUUAUUUCUAUUACUAGAUCUCUUGGGUUUUGUCAAAGUAUUUGAUUAAAAGUUAUGGUAUCAACAUUACAGUCUGGAAUAUUUUUAAGUCGAACUAAUUGAUUCUACUAACAAAUCGCAAUGCUGUGAAUGGCUUUAAGCUAUUUAAAAUCAUCUAUCACGGUCCCAACAGCUGUUCUUCUUCUAGGAGGCUGCCUCUUUGCCUGUAAGUUAUUGAUCACAUGAUACACAAGAAUCUAAACUGAAAACCUAUGUUGGCCUACUUCCUUACUAAAUCACCAAAGACGAGAGUUCUUGGCGAUACCAUAGGACUUGGCUCUGCCUUUCUUUUCUCUUUGGUCUUUGGGUUUCGCUUGGCAUCUUCCCGAAAACUGGUCCCAGCAGGCCUCAGCAUGUCGUUCUUUGUAAUGGUGCAUAAGCUCGAUAGUUUAACCUAUGGCUGUAUCCGGCUUUGCUAUGUUGUUGCCUCUGCUAUAGUCUGAUGAGCAUAGCCCUUUAGCCAAAUAGAAAUUCCUAAAAUCAUGUAUCAAACACAAAGUUUUGCUUUUGCCCACACCCCAAUAAGUGGGUAUGCAGAGUAAAUAGUGAUAAUCAAACACAUAUGCAUUUUCUUUACAGCCAAA
This is a long non-coding RNA of Raphanus sativus (radish), 2291 nucleotides long. RefSeq lists it as uncharacterized. Lineage: Eukaryota; Viridiplantae; Streptophyta; Magnoliopsida; Brassicales; Brassicaceae. The record is from RefSeq and is a predicted model, not a curated record. The transcript is spliced from 9 exons.